UACGUAGGGGGCGAGCGUUGUCCGGAUUUAUUGGGCGUAAAGAGCUCGUAGGCGGUUUGGUAAGUCGGGUGUGAAAUCUCCACGCUCAACGUGGAGGGGCCACUCGAUACUGCCAUGACUCGAGUCCGGUAGAGGAGUGUGGAAUUCCCGGUGUAGCGGUGAAAUGCGCAGAUAUCGGGAGGAACACCAAUGGCGAAGGCAGCUCGCUGGGACGUGACUGACGCUGAGACGCGAAAGCGUGGGGAGCAAACAGGG
RNAcentral lists this ribosomal RNA (255 nucleotides) under uncultured bacterium. Its description in RNAcentral is "partial 16S ribosomal RNA". It matches the Rfam family "Bacterial small subunit ribosomal RNA", at positions 524 to 777 of the family's 1533-position model. The record is from RNAcentral.